Small nucleolar RNA from Lycium ferocissimum, 143 nucleotides. RefSeq annotates it as small nucleolar RNA snoR2/U65. The record is from RefSeq and is a predicted model, not a curated record. Lineage: Eukaryota; Viridiplantae; Streptophyta; Magnoliopsida; Solanales; Solanaceae. The transcript has a single exon.
UUUCUAAUGCAAGUCCUAAAUUGAAUUCCGAAGGUGCUAUGAUUGGACCAAUAAUAAGUUUUAAUUAACAUUUCGCAUUUUGAUAGGAAUCUGUGUAUGGAUUUUUCAAUUCCUACACGGAGCCGUUUCGUGCGAUUACAAUU